This is a non-coding RNA of Mycena rosella, 94 nucleotides long. The record is from the annotation of a GenBank genome assembly. NCBI's taxonomy places the organism in Eukaryota, Fungi, Basidiomycota, Agaricomycetes, Agaricales, Mycenaceae.
GGAUUGGUAGUCUAAUGGUAAAGUGUCUUAACUUGUAUUCUCUUGCUUCGCUACAAUUCCCCAGAAAUUCCCCGUUCGAUUCGGGGCCAAUCCA